ACCACUGUGGUGCUCAGGUAGAGCUCCCCCCCGUGCCUCAACCUCCCCCAAUCCAUCAGAUUAGACUGAAGUUUCCUGUUUUAAUUUGAGGAAGUGGCAGAGUAAACGUUUGCGGGCAGUUCCUCUUUCAGGCCACAUUUAAACAUUCUUCCGCACUUGGCUCUCGUUCAUUUGCACGAAGACGGAGGCGUAGCAGUUUCACAGCCAUGCAGUCGUCCACAGCGAUGUUGCGGAACAGAUAAGCCAUGGACUCUCCGUUGUGGAUGCGGCGGAUGGCCUCGGCUAGGAUCAUACUGACAUCCACGGUUUUGAUUUUUGGACACUGCAGCUUCUGAACCUCAUGAGGAACAGUGUUGGUCACCACCACCUGGAGGCGCAACACAACUAGAAUCAGUUUCAGGUCUCAAGAUGAAAGAGGCAGAUUUUUUAAACCAGCAAAGGAUCUUCGUCUGUACUCCACUUUCUGAAAAUGUAUACAUCUUUAAGUCAUGAGCAUUUGAUUGGUGGAGCUGUGUGAGGUGAAACACAGGAACAUGAGAAAAGGUGCAGGACAAAUUCUGUAUUAAAUGUUAUCAAAUAAAUAAACAUAUAUACCUCAAACUAAGAACCGUAAAGAUUUAAUAAGUGAAGAGGUCACGCUUUACCCAAUAAAGCCAGUUUUCAUACUGCAUCUUACCACCUACAGUGAAUGAUGGAAAUGUGUUAUACUUAUUAUUCAUAAUUAAAGAUUGCCAAAGGCCAAUGCAAAUGUAAACAGGAUGUCACAGAGUUCCGGUGUCAUCAGGAGAAAAAACACUUGAUUGUGUCAUGUGCAGUGUUUUUUUAGGUCAUGGAUCCAAACUCUCUCAAGCUCUGUGCCUCCCUGAAACAUAGAUAUAUGCUUGAAGAUAAUCUAUAAAACAAGUGCUUGUAUAAAAUAAAUUCGGAAGGAUACAUCACAAAAA
This is a long non-coding RNA of Pleuronectes platessa (European plaice), 944 nucleotides long. RefSeq lists it as uncharacterized. The record is from RefSeq and is a predicted model, not a curated record. The transcript has 2 exons. Lineage: Eukaryota; Metazoa; Chordata; Actinopteri; Pleuronectiformes; Pleuronectidae.